Long non-coding RNA from Scatophagus argus, 1645 nucleotides. RefSeq lists it as uncharacterized. Lineage: Eukaryota; Metazoa; Chordata; Actinopteri; Scatophagidae. The transcript has 2 exons. The record is from RefSeq and is a predicted model, not a curated record.
UUCACUGUGUGUGUAGUUCCUCUUUACCUUACGACUGAAUAUGGCUGCCUCUGGGUAACAGCUUUGUCAGUAGUCAGUAAUUAUGUAGUCAGUGUUAUGACUACUGAAAGAUGAUCUACCAGUGACAGUAAAAAAUUCUAUUUUAAAGAUUCUAUGAAGAUUUGACUGUUGACAACAAUACUUAUGCAUGCAAUAAACAGGUUAAAUAUUAUUAUUUCGGCAGAGGGGUCUGUCACCUGGCCUUACUCUGAUGUAUUUUGAAGUGUAUUUUGAUGUUCUGAUGUAUUUUGAAGUUAUAACAAUGACAAACUAGGGCAGUCAGCAGAUUGGUUGACUGUGUUGCCAUACCGCAAUAAUAUAAAAAUUAUGCAUUUGAUAUUAGAAAUAUCUUCUUAAAUCUUAAGUUGUUCGAGGUCUCAGGAAAUAUCUUUUUUUUUUUUUUUUCUGAUUGCAGGGUGGAACAAUAGUUGCUUUUUUGCUUUAGAGAUACUUCAGUUAAAUGAUGGCCACACACUAACUUGAGCCCUUGUUACACCAAGUACUCAUUCAGUGUGUGUUUCCCAAUACUGACGUGUGGGGCGCUCCUAACAGUCAAGUUGUUUAUACAAGACGUGGGCCGGGAGAUGCGGGUCAUGCAGUGCGUCACAUAAAUUUACGGUUGAAGCCACACACAAUGGACAGAGCUGAAAUACCUGAACACUUCCAAACCAGUACUGUUUCCAUAAAAUCUUUGAGAAACAAGAUGUGAAAGUCAGAGGAGAUUAUUUAAAUUGUCUUCCGGGAGUCGACUUAUAAGUUUUGAUGCAUCAACCAGCAGAAUCUGGUCAGUACGAAAUCCUUGUCAGACUUAAUGAGUCCAUGCAGUUCCAGUGUAUCACUUGACAAUUAUAUUAACUCUUUUGUCCUGAGCAAUCUACGUUUCAUCCAUAUGUCUCACCCAGAGCUCUUGCUGGGCUAUCUACAUGACUGUGGGAGAAUUUUACUCUGAUGCCUGACCAGUUUUUGAUGCAGGCUGAGAGCUUGGUGUAAAAGGGGUUUCACUGCAGUGGGUUUGAAAUUACCAAGAAGAGUAAUGGUGCUGGAAUUCAGCUUGUAAUCUAACAGAUGUAGUGUUAAUUUAGUCUUAAAACACCAUGGCAUGACACCCGUACCGUCCCAAAAGAAAUUUCUGAAAAAAAAAUUGUCCUGGACCACAUCACAAUCCCAAGCCAGAAGGUGUGGCUGUGCUUUUCAGUUUCCAUGUGAUAAAUAUUCAAGAAGAGGAUCAGCCAAGUGGCUUUUACACUGACAUCCGCUAAAAGUAGUGGUGGAGAGAUAUGAAGUAGUGCAGAGAUGGUGAAAGUUGUACCCAGCAAAUCUGUUGUCAACAGAGCGCAAGGAUGAGCAAACUUUAUUUAACCCCAAAUUAGGUCAAGGAUUGUAUUUCUAGUUUUAAAGGCACAAGUUUAGGCAAAUAUGGACACAGGUUACUCAUUAGAAAGACCACAUUGGUUCUCAUUGGCACGUUCAUAUUACUCAGACUUCACUUAAAAUGUUGUGGCUGUUUUCAUAUUUCGCUAAAAAACAAUUAAAAGCAAAUGCACCCUGUUAAUUAUCUUAUGUUAUAUGAAAUACAUUUUGUCAUAAAUAAACAUUAUCCAAGUAA